GAUGAACGCUAGCGGCAGGCUUAACACAUGCAAGUCGAGGGGCAGCGCGGGAUAGCAAUAUCCUGGCGGCGACCGGCGGAAGGGUGCGUAACGCGUGAGCGACAUGCCCGUUGCCCGGGGACAACCGGUGGAAACGCCGACUAAUCCCCGAUGGGAUAUUGUGCCGCAUGGCACGAUAUUGAAAGUUACGGCGGCGACGGAUUGGCUCGCGUCCGAUUAGCUUGUUGGCGGGGUAACGGCCCACCAAGGCUGCGAUCGGUAGGGGUUCUGAGAGGAAGGCCCCCCACAAUGGGACUGAGACACGGCCCAUACUCCUACGGGAGGCAGCAGUGAGGAAUAUUGGUCAAUGGGCGGAAGCCUGAACCAGCCAUGCCGCGUGCGGGAAGGAGGCCCUAUGGGCUGUGAACCGCUUUUGCCUGGGGGCAAUAAGGGCGUCGCGCACGUCCGAUGAGAGUACCAGGCGAAUAAGCAUCGGCUAACUCCGU
RNAcentral lists this ribosomal RNA (485 nucleotides) under uncultured bacterium. Its description in RNAcentral is "partial 16S ribosomal RNA". It matches the Rfam family "Bacterial small subunit ribosomal RNA", at positions 28 to 506 of the family's 1533-position model. The record is from RNAcentral.